This is a non-coding RNA of Osmia lignaria (orchard mason bee), 509 nucleotides long. NCBI's taxonomy places the organism in Eukaryota, Metazoa, Arthropoda, Insecta, Hymenoptera, Megachilidae. The record is from RefSeq and is a predicted model, not a curated record.
GGUAACUUUGAUUGGAUGAUCCCUGGAGGAUGAAAGAGGCGAAGAACAGAGCAGACGACACUGGCCGGGAUCUUAGUAAGAAACUUGAUACGAUAGGCGUGCGAGGUGGAACGUUGAAAAAGAAGAUCAGAGGCGGUUCUAAAUACGGAAUGAAGCGGAGAGUCUACUGGAAUCGAGUCGGCAGAGGGUGCCGUAAGGGGUGACACAAGUGACACCUCGUAAUACCGGGACCUGGACCGACGCCAGUUUGCAUAAGAAGUGCACAUCCUGUACGCAGCCGACGAAGCCGGUAACUGUGUAGCAAGCACCGUUUCCUCCGUGUGCUAUCUACUCGAUAGUCAAUAUUACGUGACACAACACACUGCUACGUGGCGCGCACUCUCAUCCCUGACAGCUAGCGGCGUCGUGUGCCGUGCCAGCGAGCCAUGAUGGCAACUGCAGGUACUAUGGGAUGCUGUGUCAAGUGCAGUCUGAGCUGCAUACAAUUUAGAGGAAAAAAUAUUUUAAAU